Molecule: long non-coding RNA, 228 nt
Organism: Drosophila arizonae
Lineage: Eukaryota; Metazoa; Arthropoda; Insecta; Diptera; Drosophilidae
Source: RefSeq, a predicted model, not a curated record
GAUCAGUUCGAGCUGAAACCGCGACGCGAUCGCCACGCAGCCGCGCUUCACAUAACAAAUAAAAAACUCACAAUAAAAAAAUUAAUAAAAAACCGAAUAAACUCGAAAAAAAAGUGAGCAGGCAGCAGCAAUACGUAUAUUCAACUAUUUUUAGCGCAUUACACGCCAGUGAAGUGACAGUGCAAUGAAAUGUGUGCAACAGCGCUAUAAAAACAACAACAACAACAA